UCAUCCGCACACUCCUUCCUUCCUUGCUCCUUCCUUCCUCACCCGUCGCCGCUCCCUCCCACCUCCUCCUCCUCCUUCUGCGCCCUAGGAGCCCCGCCGCCGCCCUGUUGCUACUCCUCCAUCGGCCAGCCCUGCUGCGUCGUGAGCCCCUCCCUCCUCUUCGCGUUCCGGUGGUCGAUAGUCGGGGUCAAUGAGGAGAUGCACGCGGCGGCGGCCAUGGACGACUCCAUGAGCGGGACCACCACCGUCGCGGCGCCUGCGGCCGGCGGCGCACUCCACGGGGCUCGGGAUGUCCGCGGCGGCGCGGGCUGUGGACCGAGAGGCGGGGCCCUUGAUGUGUACCGUUCGAGGGGCUGGUCGGGCUGGCGCGGGAUCUGAGCCACCGUUCAUGGAUUUCUCGCAGCUUGGCUCCUGUUGCUUUGGAUCCGGAGGAUUGGCUACUACAUACGAUUUGUGGAACUCCCAAUUAUGUUGCUCCCGAGUUUCUUCGAUGUACAAGUUAAAAAUAACAAGGGUUCUGAUGGUGCCAAGGCGGAUCCGUGGUCAUGUAGGGUGAUUUUUUUGUCGUCAUUCUGUUCGAAGAUUAAAAUCUCAUCCGCUUUACAAGACGGUGAAUAACUUGUACUACUUUUCUUUUGCCAAAUGUAAGUUCCUUUUUUGCGCGAAAAAUAAGUAAGUGCCUGAAAGAUAACCUGCUUGUUCAUGCAUAUAUACAAAGUAAGCUCCGGUUUCCCAUCUUGGUUAUCGACAAGACAAAGAAGCUCAUCAAGAAGAUAUUAGAUUGUAAUCCUCACUGUAUGUUAUGUUCAUCGGUACCAUAUCAGUUAAUUUUAUCCAAGCUUAUACACACCAUUUGACAUGUGCUAACGGUAAGUAAAACAUGGUUCAAUUAGUUGCAGUUCACGUUAAUUAUUAUACAAGGCUCAAAUUUAUAGGGUUUUUUCUAUGUCAGUCAAUGUUAGGUGAUGGAUUUAGUUGAUGUUUCCUAUGUACAUGAUUUUGAAGUUGCAGUAUAAUCUAAGUACGUGCCAAGUCUUUAGUUAUCCUGCAUUGUAUGUAUUCUUAUUCUGCCUUGCUGCAUUAGCCAAAGGCAUGGCUUUAAUUUUUUUUCCUAUACAUUUCACAUUGACAGAACCAUGCCUAAAAGCCUAAUCUCAUCAUGCGAAGAUACUUUGAAUGGAACAACAGUUUGCAAAUUGUAUGUUACUGAAAAUCUUCCAGAGAUAAAAUUGUUUUCGAAAGGUUUUGGUACUUAACAUUUCCUUUGAUUCCCCACUUAGUACUCUGAUUGCUCGUGAAGGCAAGGUCCCCAGAACAUAAUGCAGUUUGCAAAUCCCGUCUCUCCUUUUACAGGCUUUUCUGAUUGUUCAUUUGUUUGUGAAGGCAAGGUCUUGCAUGAAGGUCAUCCUCCUACAUCGCUGUGUCAGGCACUCUGAUUGCUCGUGUUGAUCGGAGUUAGAAAAGAGGAACCCAGAUUUUUGUCCGUGAACUGUAAGCAGCAACAAGAUCUUGCAAUUUCUAAUUUUCUUUUCUAGCCAUCUACGUGAUUCAGGUGCCUGGUUCCGUGCCCUCCUUUGCAUUUUUUUAGUUCAAUCAGCAGCGUUCUUAGUUUCUUCUAUCAUAUGCUUGUGUGCUAAUUCCAUGCCUUGCUCCAGUAACUAACAAGACUGCUCUUAAUUUACCAAGAUGUCAUCUAGAAUGUAUCCAUCUGCUAAUGACUUGAUGGAGUCAUAGAAAUGAGCUAUUGACACUUUUUUAGAACAGAUGCAACUGCUUGUAAUUCUGAAUAAUUAGCUUUAGUUACUGUUAAAAACAACCUGUGAAAAAUUUCUUGACUGGCCCUGCUCAGGAGAGCCGAAAUCCCUGGUUCCCCGAAAUUUCUUGACUGGCCCUGCUCACGAGAGCCGAAAUCCCUGGAGGCUGGAGUGGUAGAUGAUCUCAUGCGACAGUGGGUUGAAAGUGAGCUAGACGCUCGUGCCGCCGGUUUCGAACGCGUGCUGCCAGUCGGCUCCUUGUGUCCUCCAGUGAAUGCGAUGAGCGGAUACUCAUCUAUAGCUAUAUGUCGAACAACAGCAUGGAUCUCUGCUUAUACUUCUAUAUUUUUUCUUGCCUAUGCUCAGAAUUUGGAUCACAAUAGUAAAUAGAUCAUUAGGUUCUCUUCUAUAAUUGUUGGUUGUUGUUGUUCUGUGCUCCAACACAUACGAGCAGCUCAUUGUUGCACGGAGAUAAGUUUCAUGCACAUAAUUAAAGUUCCGGAUAACCGAAGUACAAAUCUGUAAAUACCUUUAGAGAAAGCUUGUAUGCUUGACAUGCUUGACCAUGUAAAAGCUCAUGCAUGAGUAAUUAUAUCGUCAGGUUAUUCUUUUUAUCUGCAAGGUGAGCUUCAAAAUUCUGUAAACUAGCAUUUCCAAUAGUUUAGAGCUGCCACUUUACUUUCAGUAUUUAGGUGGAUGAUCUCUGUUUAAAUUCCUAAUACAAGUAAUGCACUCCGGCAAGUUCUAUUUAUUUGUGUCCUUGCUGCCAAUAGAUGUAAUUUUAUCGCGAGCACCCAAGUACAGCAGCACUAUUGCCGUUCAUUAUUGUUGGCUUAUGCCCUAGAGAGAAAAUAAUUAGCAUUUACCUCUGUGUACCGGACUGUAGUUGUACCAUAUGCCUAUUGUAUCAUUUUCAUCCUUGAUAGAUGCAGCGAGUAAAUUGUCACUGAAAAAUGUUGUGGUUGCAGCGUUUGUUUUGUUAAUUCUGCAUUCCUUCCUUUAUGAGAAAAGUGUUACUUCUGCGUUAGUUAUAUGUUAUUUUUGUCUAUUUUUGUAAAAAUAUUCAUACGUGUGUUUGAAUUGUUUUUAGUAGCUGUCUUUAUUACUCUCUCCGAUUGAACAAAAAAUCGGAGGCUGCCUACAGCAAGUCCGUUUGUCAUCAACGCCUUUCUUUGCUUGGUAGCUCCACAUCCAAUCUUUCAAGCUACAUCCAUAUGUAAGAAAGUUACAAUUAAUCCAGUACUAAUAGUUUUGUACGUACGUAUAUGCACACCCACCCCUUCUAUAUACAUAUGAUUCAGGAGCAUCUUUUACUAGCAUUUUGUUUCAUUGCCCCAUACAAAAUUUAUGCAAGUGAUGUCUAUUGUUUUUUCCUUUGUCUAAAUAUUACUACAGAAGCAUGUCUUGAAUAAAAGCUGGUUGGCGUCGUCGCAAUUGCCAAUGUGUGUGGACGUAUUUUUCAUCUUCCACAUGUUCUCUGUCGAGAGCAAUGAGCAUAGUUUUCACUGCGAAAAGCAACCCUGAAUUAGUUUUCGAAAUUAUAUUUCAUGGCUUUCAAAGUUUUAAUAUGAUUGUUGUUGCUAAUGGCCAUGUCGCAAACGUCGGCCGGUGCACACCAUGUUGCGUGCUGUUCUGCGAUUUCUGAGGUACUCUCUCUCUCUCUCUCUCUCAAAAUGGUAAAAAAACUCAUACUAAACGGGAGGGUCUACAAUUUUACUACCUGGCAUGAGUUACCACUGUAUUUUUAUUCUUCUAAUUACAACAUGUAGAAAUGUGUGUUAAGAGUUCAAUCAUAUACAAAGAUGCCUAUAUGUUGUUUUUGGUUUUACCUCCAUAAAACUAAAAUGGUUCUCUCCUAACAGAGAGGCAGUGGAUAUGUGCUUCUCAAUCAAGGAGCUUUUGUCAAACCGGGUAUGCAACCAUGCACGUUGUAGUUCAUACUAUAUGGAAUUUACUUUCAGUAGGAAUGUGCGUAUGUUGCUCCGGUGAUAGUAAGCAUUUGCAUAUAAGUUGCAUCAUAAUAAUCUUCACAUUUUAGUUGCAUCAUAAUAAUCUUCUUCUUCUAGUCUUCUUCUUCUAACUUUCUUCUUUCC
This is a long non-coding RNA of Triticum aestivum (bread wheat), 3847 nucleotides long. RefSeq lists it as uncharacterized. Lineage: Eukaryota; Viridiplantae; Streptophyta; Magnoliopsida; Poales; Poaceae. The record is from RefSeq and is a predicted model, not a curated record. The transcript is spliced from 3 exons.